GGAGUCUGGACCGUGUCUCAGUUCCAGUGUGGGGGACCUUCCUCUCAGAACCCCUACCGAUCGUAGCCACGGUGGGCCGUUACCCCGCCGUCAAGCUAAUCGGACGCAUCCCCAUCCCAUGGCGUCAAACUUUAGUGCUCCUCAGAUGUCCUCAAAGCACAACAUAGGGUGUUAAUCCGCAUUUCUACGGGCUAUGCCCUACCAGGGGGAAGGUUGGAUACGCGUUACUCACCCGUGCGCCGGUCGCCAUCAAUCAAAGCAAGCUUCGAUUAUGCUGCCCCUCGACUUGCAUGUGUUAAGCCUGUAGCUAGCGUUCAUC
Molecule: ribosomal RNA, 319 nt
Filed under: uncultured Prevotella sp.
Lineage: Bacteria; Pseudomonadati; Bacteroidota; Bacteroidia; Bacteroidales; Prevotellaceae
Description: partial 16S ribosomal RNA
Source: RNAcentral